UCUCUUCCAGGCAACCUUGCAGGGAGA
This 27-nucleotide small RNA is filed under the name Bombyx mori (domestic silkworm). RNAcentral describes it as "ovarian small RNA-29873". Lineage: Eukaryota; Metazoa; Arthropoda; Insecta; Lepidoptera; Bombycidae. The record is from RNAcentral.